Felis catus (domestic cat) is the source of this 4390-nucleotide long non-coding RNA. RefSeq lists it as uncharacterized. NCBI's taxonomy places the organism in Eukaryota, Metazoa, Chordata, Mammalia, Carnivora, Felidae. The record is from RefSeq and is a predicted model, not a curated record. The transcript has 4 exons.
UCCAGGCUCUGAGCUGUCAGCACAGAGCCUGACGUGGGGCUUGAACCCAUGAACUGUGAGGUCACGACCUGAGCCAAAGUUGGAUGCUUAACCGAAUGAGCCACCCCGGUGCCCCUUUCUUAUACCACUUUAAAUGUCCUGGUGCAAAAAUUUAAACCUAUCAGAAGGCAUGUGGCAAAUGUCCAAUUAAAUGACAUUCAAUGCACAAAUAGAACUUUCACCACAGUCCUUAUUCUUGGGAGAUUUUAUCCCAAUUUCAAAUGCAAUAAGUGACAAUAAAUCCUUUAACCAUCAUAUUUUCAGGGUAUGGUCAAUUUCAGCUUUAUUCCUUUUUAGUAAGGAAGUCUGCAACAAAGAGGAAAUCAUUAUUAUUAUUAUUAUUAUUAUUAUUAUUAUUAUUAUUACUAUUAUUAUUGGUAGUAGUAGCAGUAGUAGUAUUUGGUUAAGAUCUUAUCACUCUAAAAGACUCUUCAUACACAGCCCUGGGCUAUUGUGUGAAAAUUCUUGGACCAGCCAGCCCACUAUCCAUGGUAUUUAGUAACCCCGUAAAAGUUAAAUUUGUUUUAUUUAUAGGUUGGAAGAGCCUUUACCCACGAGGAGUACUGAAUAAAUAGACUUUCGCUAUUUCUCUCCAAAGAGGUUGGGAAGGAACCACUCAUGAGGAAAGCCUGGAGGGUACAAAUUGUCAGAAUGAAGUAUGGUCCUUUGUUCAGAAUCAGAAGAGUUAACCACUCAAAUCAUAAAAUACCAGCUGAAGCUCACUUCACCAAGCAGAGGGGAGCAACAUGCAAAGAAGAGAAACAGGACAACACUGAAAAUACUCGAGAUAUAAUCUCUCCAGAUUAAAUCAAGACGAGUCCACUUAGGAUCCUAGAGGUCAUGCUUUUGACGAAAAGAUCUAGGAAGCAUGCUUCAAGGUAGCACAGAAGAGAGUCAGAGCUUUUUGUCUUCUUUUUUUAAUUUAAUAAAACAGAAUGAGAUUGAGCGAUGCAGAAUAAGCUGCCUAUCUGAGAGCUGCCUGAGGCUGAAGGAAGAGAUACGACAUUGAGACAGAGCUAACCUAACUGGCUCUCAUGGGGAUUGAUCGCAUGCCUGACCUUCCACUACAGUGUUCUAAGCAUUUGAGAUAACUGGGUGUGCCUCCCCUACAAAUGCAACAGGUUGAGUCUGGAGGGAAAAAAUGGGACAAGAUCUGAAUGAGUGCUGAGUCUACACUGAGGAGCCUUGACUUCAGUGACAUCCUUACAUAUGAAGUUGUUUAGGAAGAGAAUGCUGUUAAAUGCUGUGAUUUCUAAAACCCACCUUGGACCAGAGAUGAUGCUAACGUUUGUCACUCGGUGACAUCAACAGGUUCAUAGAUAUGAUGAGAUGAAUACUUUAAGCUUGCAGGUGUCUCAGAAGGAAGAAAAAGUAGAGGAAAAUAUGUGAAGGCUGGCGAAGAAUACAGUCAAGAGUUGAGGAUGAGCUGAAGUAGUGACCAUGGUAGGUGCAAAAGCUACUUAGGAGCCAGGAUUGAUAACUGGAAGUGACAAUCAACCAGAUAUGGAAGGUGAGAGAGACGAAAGAUGAAGCUUCAGUGCCUCUUGGCUUUCUAGCCUAGGGAAUGGGUUAAUUCUCCAAGAGAGGAAAUACAGGAGAGGCUCUAAGUUUGGUAGGGGGGUAGACUGUUAAAUUUAGUAUUGUUAUUGGUACUCAUUGCUCCUUGGAUUGUAAUUAUGGUAUUGGCAUUUUCUCUAUGAGGCUUAAAACAUAUCCCAGGAAGGAUAAUUUCGCUCACUGACAUACUGAGCAAAUAAGGGAAAACAUGGUGAUUUGAAAUGUGUACUUCAAACACAAGAAAGAUAGUUUUCAGUAAAGCUUGUAUAUAUACCUAAAAUUGAGAGGCAUGACUCCACCUCCCAUUUCCAGUCCUCCUACCCCUCCAUAGUCUCAGAGACAAAGGUGGUAAUUCAAGAUGACUUAGGGUAUGUUGAUACAAUGCCAGAUGUUUAGACAAAUUAUUAAGAAGUGGCAUAAUCCAGACCUCUUCCAAAGUGGGUAUGGGAGCAACCGAGCUGUUGCCUGAAUUUUUCCUUUUUGUAAAGCUGUUUGGCACUAUGCAGAUAUAGUUAAAGUCCUAUAAAUGCCUUGGCUAUAGAAAGGGCAAAACCUCAUAAAGAAGAUUUUGAGCAAAGAGUGUGUGCCAGUAUUCUAACUCUUGGGGAAUAUUAACUAUUUAACAGCAUUUUUUUUUUAUGGUAUCAAGCCUAUGAGGUAGAUAUUACUAUCUUUGGUUCACAGAUGAGGAAAAUGGGAGUGAGAAACAAACAAAAACCUGCCUGUGUUUGUUCAACUAGGAAGUGGCAGAACUCUUCUAACCCCGUUCCCUACAUUAUCUGACCACCUCUGGACCUCUCAUCAGUUGAUGCCCUUCUUUUUCAGUGCUCCAUCCUCUUUAUGCCUUCCUUUCACUCUGCCCUCAGCUUAGACUCCAAACGCACAGUUAUCAUUAUCCUCUUGCAAACCCUCACUUUCCUAGCCUCUCAGUUCUUCCAUCUUUCUCAACCAGCAAAGCUCAAUCCUUGAAGCCAGCCCUGUCUACUUCAUACCUAUCCCACAGUCACUGAUGGGGGGCUAGACAAAAAACACUCAACCAUGCUCACUUAUCUUGCCUCAAGUCUGUGACCACAGACCUCAAGUGGGCCCUCUCCCCUGCCUGGGAAUCUGGCCACUUUGUCUAGUUGAUUGCCUCUUUUGUAAUUCAAGACACCCAUGGUCAAAUGGCUUCUCAUUUUUCAAAUGUCCUACCCUGUUCCCUUCUCCUUACUUUCCAAUGAAGACUUUGCCUCUUGUUUGACUGAAGAAAUAGUCACGAUCUGAUGGCAAACUGGUAAACACACCCAUUCUCAUGACCAAAUUUACCAACCUGUCUGCAUCUUAACCUACAGACUCAGCCUUCUUCCUAUUUACAUAUUAUUCGUAAGAAUCGUUCACGCUUUAUUAAGACCAACAUCUCGACUUACGUGUUGGAGCUUAUCCCCUUUUCUAGGACUUUGUUCCUGCAGUUGUCUUCUCUCUGUCCUCAUGAUCAUUAUCCCCCUCUCUGGUGAUCAUUGCCAUCAGCAGACAAGCAUACUUUACUAUCUCCCAUCUUAAGAAAACAAAACUUGCCCUCGAUCCACAUUCCCUUCUAGCUCUUACCUUAUGUUUUUCCUUUCUUUUAAAGCAAACUCCUAAAAAGAAUUGUCCAUCUCUAAUUACUCUUUCCACUUUCUUACCCUGAAUUCUCUUUUUAACCUGUGCUAAUCAGGCUUAGGCUCCCAAUCCUUCAAAAACAAUUUUUAAAACCAUACUCGUCAAUGUCACCAAAAACGACAGGUUGUCAAAUCCAAUGAUGAAUUCUCAGUACUGCUUUUAAACUCUUAGGAGCUCUGACAAAGUUGUUUACUUCUUCCUUCUUCAAACACUUUGUUCUCUUGGCUUCUGGAAUAGUGUGUUCUGGAUUUUAUUCUUCACUAGUCACCCAUUAUUAGUAUUUUUUUUUUUUUGGCUUCUCCAUCCCUGCCAUAAUUCAAAGAUUCAGGUGGUUCUCUGUUGUUUCCUCUUCUCCAGAUGCGUGUACUUUCAGGUGACCUCACACAAUCUGAUAACUCCCAAAUGUUGAUCUCUUCUCCUAACCUCUUCCACGAGUUAUGAAAUACCAAGCUACCUAUUGAAUAUUUAGAGUGUCUGUUACAUAUAUUAUACUUACUAUGGCCAAAAUAGAACUCUUGGUUCUCUCUCUCCCCCUUAAAAUACUCUGAUUUUUUUCAGCCUUUUUCAAAACCUAGAAAUUGUUCUUGAUUUCUCUUUUCCCUUCAUUUCCUACACCCAACUCAUCAGCAAAAUUUGCUUGCUUUCCCUUAAUCUCAUCACUUCCCUCCAUGGCUACCAACACUUCUAGUCUAGGUUACUAUUUUCUCUUGCCUGGACUAUAAAAGCCUACAAAUUGAUCUCAUUGCUUCUACUCUUCCCUCUACCCAGUCCUGUUCUCUAUGCGGCAGCCAGUGUUCUUUUUACAAAGAAUUAUGUUCUGUCCUCCUAAAACUACUUCAAUUACUUCCCAUUUUACUGAGAAUAAAAAUUCAGACUGCUUAAUGGCCUACCAGGUGUUACCUGAUCUAGCCACAGUUUACCGUUCUCACCUUAUUUUCUACCACUUUUCUACUAAUCAACAUGGCUUUCCUUUAAUACAGCAAACUCAUCCCUGCCCCAGAGCCUUUGCACUACUUAAUCCAUCUAUCCAGAAUGCUCUCAGCCCAGAUAUUUAUAGAACUCCUGUCAUCAAAAGUACAGAGCAUCUUAAAAAGCAUAGAACAUCAGAAUUUGAAGAGUCUUAGGGAUCUUCAAAACCCAUCCUUGCAUUUUACAG